GCUGAUGUAGCUCAGGGGUAGAAGCUUCCUUGGUAAGGAAGAGGUCGAGGGUUCAAAUCCCUUCAUCAGCU
This 71-nucleotide transfer RNA is filed under the name Candidatus Parvibacillus calidus. Its description in RNAcentral is "tRNA-Thr". It matches the Rfam family "tRNA". From Rfam's summary of the family: Transfer RNA (tRNA) molecules are approximately 80 nucleotides in length. Their secondary structure includes four short double-helical elements and three loops (D, anti-codon, and T loops). Further hydrogen bonds mediate the characteristic L-shaped molecular structure. tRNAs have two regions of fundamental functional importance: the anti-codon, which is responsible for specific mRNA codon recognition, and the 3' end, to which the tRNAs corresponding amino acid is attached (by aminoacyl-tRNA synthetases). tRNAs cope with the degeneracy of the genetic code in two manners: having more than one tRNA (with a specific anti-codon) for a particular amino acid; and 'wobble' base-pairing, i.e. permitting non-standard base-pairing at the 3rd anti-codon position. The record is from RNAcentral. Lineage: Bacteria; Pseudomonadati; Bacteroidota; Saprospiria; Saprospirales; Saprospiraceae.